This 560-nucleotide ribosomal RNA is filed under the name uncultured bacterium. RNAcentral describes it as "bacterial SSU rRNA". It matches the Rfam family "Bacterial small subunit ribosomal RNA", at positions 46 to 597 of the family's 1533-position model. The record is from RNAcentral.
GUUUAACACAUGCAAGUCGAACGGAAACGAAAAUAGCUUGCUAUUUGGCGUCGAGUGGCGAACGGGUGAGUAACGCGUAGGAAUCUACCCAGUAGAGGGGGAUAGCCCGAAGAAAUUCGGAUUAAUACCGCAUAAUCUCUACGGAGUAAAGAAGGCCUCUUUACAAUGCUUUUACUAUUGGAUGAGCCUGCGUUAGAUUAGUUAGUUGGUAGGGUAAAAGCCUACCAAGGCGACGAUCUAUAGCUGGUUUUACGAGAAUGAUCAGCCACACUGGAACUGAGACACGGUCCAGACUCCUACGGGAGGCAGCAGUGAAGAAUAUUGGACAAUGGGGGAAACCCUGAUCCAGCAAUGUUGCGUGCGUGAAGAAGGUCCGAGGAUUGUAAAGCACUUUCAGUAAGCAAGAAAAAUGUAAAUCUAAUAGAUUUGCAUGUUGACCACUUAUAGAAGAAGCACCGGCUAACUCCGUGCCAGCAGCCGCGGUAAUACGGAGGGUGCGAGCGUUAAUCGGAAUUACUGGGCGUAAAGGGUAAGUAGGCGGUUUAUAAAGUCACAUGGUG